AGUGAACGCUGGCGGUAGGCCUAACACAUGCAAGUCGAACGGCAGCACAGUAAGAGCUUGCUCUUACGGGUGGCGAGUGGCGGACGGGUGAGGAAUACAUCGGAAUCUACUUUUUCGUGGGGGAUAACGUAGGGAAACUUACGCUAAUACCGCAUACGACCUACGGGUGAAAGCAGGGGAUCUUCGGACCUUGCGCGAUUGAAUGAGCCGAUGUCGGAUUAGCUAGUUGGCGGGGUAAAGGCCCACCAAGGCGACGAUCCGUAGCUGGUCUGAGAGGAUGAUCAGCCACACUGGAACUGAGACACGGUCCAGACUCCUACGGGAGGCAGCAGUGUGGAAUAUUGGACAAUGGGCGCAAGCCUGAUCCAGCCAUACCGCGUGGGUGGAGAAGGCCUUCGGGUUGUAAAGCCCUUUUGUUGGGAAAGAAAAGCAGCAGGUUAAUACCCCGCUGUUCUGACGGUACCCAAAGAAUAAGCACCGACUAACUUCGUG
This 492-nucleotide ribosomal RNA is filed under the name uncultured bacterium. RNAcentral describes it as "partial 16S ribosomal RNA". It matches the Rfam family "Bacterial small subunit ribosomal RNA", at positions 29 to 507 of the family's 1533-position model. The record is from RNAcentral.